GCUGUCGGCCUUGGCCCGUCAAAUAGGGGGACGCCUCCUUCCUUCCUCCCAUCCCACCAUCGGCGGCGUGCACCACUUCUCUCCUGCUGCCGCUCGCACAGUCUCGCAGCUCCCCAUACCUCACCGCUUUGCUCGCCACACGAAGGCGAGAGACGAAUCCGGCCGAGCCUCCGCCGCCGCUCAGCUCUUCCGCUCGGGACCUCGACUCGUCGAGGCGGAGUUCCUCGCCCCGUCCGUUCUCCAUUCCCGGCACCAGUUCAGGCUUCGUACUCCAGCUCCAGCUGCAGUGUGACCCUUACCACCGGGACGGUGGCGCGCGCAGGGGCAAAUCGUAUUGCCAUGGCGGUUCAGUAGAAUGGUGCAUUCGGGGGGCGCAGGCUGCCACCGGUGUGGUUUGUGGCCAAGUGGAUCCGCCCCAAUUAUCGUUAUCACCAUCUCGAUGAUGCGCCCUUCCCAUUUCAGAGCACAUGCGGUGCAUUUAGAUUGUCCCCCUAGAACUGAACAGAGAAAUGUUGACGAUUUAGUGGUGAUGAGGCCUUACCAGCGGCCUGGGUCAGGGGACGAUUUCGCCAAGCGGAAGAAUGCGGGUAAUGUGGUAGUAAUGCGGCCAGAACGAAGAAUGCGGGAUGGUUCGGUGGAUCGUGCAGCCUCUGGAAAUGGCAGAGCAGCCGGGGACAUCGAGAGGGCCAUUUUGUCCCUGCAAGCUAAGCCGUGGAAACACUUGGGUCAGAACUCAAACGAGGGGGUUGAUUUGCCAAAAGAUAAAGGGGUGUUUUAUGCUGGCAACCUUCGCCGGUACUGCAACAAUGGGAAGCUCAUUCAAGCUUGCUGUGUGAUUGAUGAGAUGGUGCUACAUGGCCAAAUUCCGGAUGCUAAGAGUUGUAUUAGAUUAAUCCGUGGCCUUGUUAAAACUGGUAAGGCAAAUAAAGCCAGGGAUGUCCUUGAGGUUAUGGCGCUCUCAGGUGGGAUUCCAGAUACCAUCACCUGUAACAUGCUGAUUGCGCAACUUUGCUGCACAAGGCAGCUGGAUUUGGCGAUGAACGUACUGGAGGACAUGAGGUAUGGCGGUAUCUCUCCGAACGGCAUCACUUUUAACACUUUGAUUAGGUGCAUGUGCAACCAGCGUAUGUAUGGCCGGGCAAUCACCUUUUGGAAAGAGCAAUUAAGAAUAGGUUGGCCACCAUAUGUUAUGACGAGCACCUUGCUUGUUGAUCUUGUAUGCAAAAACUGUGGUCCUAAGCGUGCCAUGGAAGUCUUGAAUGAACUUGCUCUGGAGGGAUGUCAACCAGAUGUUGUCACCUACAAUGCUCUUAUCAGUGCAUCAUGUAAAGCAGGCAGGCUGAAGGACGCAAAGACCAUCUUAACUCGUCUUAUUGCUGAAGGCCUUGAACCAAAUAGUACAACCUAUUGCAUCUUACUCCAUUCUCUCUGCAAUACAAAAAGGUGGGCUGAAGUUUGUGAUUUACUUGCACAUAUGAACCAUGCAAAUUGUGAGCCUGAUGUUACUGCCUACAAUAUCUUUAUCAACUACUUCUGUAAGUAUGGACAUCUCGAUCAGGCUAUUGGUGUGUUGGAGAUGAUGGUUAGUGAUAAAUGUUUUCCUGAUAUAGUGACGUACAACACACUCCUAAAUGCCAUAUGUAAAGAGGGUAUGGUGGAAGAAGCUCUUUUGAUAGCCCAUUGCAUCAGAGAAAAUGGAUGGCAGUUGGUUCGUAUUACAUACAACACCCUGAUAGAUGCUUUAGCAAACAAGGGUGAGGUGAACAAAGCUAUGGAUCUGUUUGAUGAGAUGGCUAGUGAUGGGAUCAGUCCCGAUGACAUUACUUAUGGUUCACUUGUUAUGUGCUUCUGUAGGAAAAACAUGGCUGAAGAGGCCCUACUGCUCUUGAAUCGGACGCUUGCUCUUGGUUUUCAGGUUAAAGUAACUACUUUUGUCAUGGUGAUCCAGGCAUUGUGCAGAGAUAGCAAAGCAGAAGCUGCUGCUGAUAUACUGCGAGUAAUGGUAUCAGAAACUAAAAACACCAGUAACUCAUUUUAUCUAUCUAUAGUCAGAAGAGUCGCCAAUUCAGGCAGGAUUGAAGAAGCAGAAAGGCUGCUUCAGGAAUUAGUUGACUGCAAGAUAGUGAAAGAAGAUUCCCCUGUUGUGUUGAGCAGCUAGCUACUAGAGCGUGAUGCCAAGAUACUUCCUAGUCGUGAAAUAUGGAAGUCAGCUAACUUAGCAGAUAACUCCUGGAAGUUAUGCAUAAUGUCUCGGCAAGCAAAGGGGCUCUUAUGAGUCUGAGAGGAACGAUGGCUUUUCUUGAUGGUCCUCUGCAAAAGUCUCGUUCCGGUGCUAUGCAAUUAUGCUUCAAUUGUCCAGACGUCGCAAUGGUGUGCCCGUACCCUGCCCGCGUCACAUCUUCAAGCAGCACCGUAGCCGUGGUUCGGUGCUGCGGCGAUGUGCUUGGAGGUGAAUGAAUCGUCACGCUUUAUUCUUUCGGCCUCAGAAAGAUGAUGUAUUUUGCUUAAAAUUUAACUUUUAAAAGUAUUUUGUCUAAAGUUUGGAUGCAUGUAAUGGCGGCAGCAGUAGCGUGCAUCUUAUCGUCUGUUUCCUGA
Molecule: RNA transcript, 2595 nt
Organism: Aegilops tauschii subsp. strangulata
Lineage: Eukaryota; Viridiplantae; Streptophyta; Magnoliopsida; Poales; Poaceae
Source: RefSeq, a predicted model, not a curated record